Non-coding RNA from Vicugna pacos (alpaca), 2775 nucleotides. The record is from RefSeq and is a predicted model, not a curated record. Lineage: Eukaryota; Metazoa; Chordata; Mammalia; Artiodactyla; Camelidae.
UUCUGGGAAAGCCGGCCUUGGCCAAUCAGGAGGCGCGGGCGAGCGGCGCGAGAAGCGGCGGCCGCGUUCUUCAGCCGGGACCUGAGCGGCGACACGGCUGCAGCGCCAGGAUUUGCAUCUCCAAUGGAUACUGAGGGGUUUGAUGAGCUCCUUCAGCAAGCUGAACAGCUUGCCGCUGAGACCGAGGGCAUCUCAGAGCUUCCCCAUGUGGAACGGAACCUCCAGGAGAUCCAGCAGGCGGGUGAGCGCCUGUGUUCCCGUACCCUCACUCGCACAUCCCAGGAGACAGCAGAUGUCAAGGCGUCAGUUCUCCUUGGGUCUCGGGGGCUUGAUAUAUCUCACAUCUCCCAGCGAUUGGAGAGUCUGAGUGCAGCCACCACCUUUGAACCUCUUGAGCCUGUGAAGGACACAGACAUUCAGGGCUUCCUCAAGAAUGAAAAGGAUAAUGCCCUGCUGUCUGCCAUUGAAGAGUCCCGGAAGAGGACCUUUGGCAUGGCUGAGGAGUACCAUCGAGAGUCAAUGCUGGUCGAGUGGGAGCAAGUGAAACAGCGGAUUCUCCACACACUACUGGCAUCCGGAGAAGAUGCCCUUGACUUUACUCAAGAAAGCGAGCCAAGUUACAUCAGUGAUGUGGGACCCCCUGGUCGAAGCUCUCUGGACAACAUCGAGAUGGCUUAUGCCCGGCAGAUUUAUAUCUAUAAUGAGAAGAUUGUAAACGGACACCUGCAGCCUAACCUUGUGGACCUCUGUGCUUCCGUCGCAGAGCUGGAUGAUAAGAACAUCUCUGACAUGUGGACCAUGGUGAAACAAAUGACAGACGUGUUGUUGGCGCCGGCGACUGACGCCCUGAAGAGUCGCAACAGCGUGGAAGUGCGCAUGGAGUUUGUCAGGCAGGCCUUGGGAUACCUGGAACAGAGUUAUAAGAAUUAUACCCUUGUGACUGUCUUUGGAAACUUGCAUCAGGCCCAGUUGGGCGGGGUGCCUGGGACUUACCAGCUGGUACGAAGUUUCCUGAACAUUAAACUUCCGGCUCCCUUGCCCGGACUUCAGGAUGGAGAGGUGGAAGGCCAUCCUGUAUGGGCAUUAAUUUAUUACUGCAUGCGCUGUGGAGACCUGCUUGCCGCUUCACAGGUGGUUAACCGAGCCCAGCACCAGCUGGGAGAGUUUAAAACCUGGUUCCAGGAGUACAUGAACAGCAAGGACAGAAGGUUGUCCCCAGCAACGGAGAACAAGCUCCGACUGCAUUAUCGCAGGGCCCUCAGGAACAACACAGACCCCUACAAACGGGCUGUGUACUGUAUCAUUGGCAGAUGCGAUGUCACCGACAACCAAAGUGAGGUGGCCGACAAAACCGAGGACUACCUGUGGCUAAAGUUGAACCAGGUGUGUUUCGAUGAUGACGGCACCAGCUCCCCACAAGACAGACUGACGCUGUCUCAGUUCCAGAAACAGCUGUUGGAAGACUACGGCGAGUCCCACUUCACGGUGAACCAGCAGCCCUUCCUCUACUUCCAAGUACUGUUCCUGACGGCGCAGUUCGAAGCUGCCAUUGCCUUUCUCUUCCGCAUGGAGCGGCUGCGCUGCCAUGCCGUCCACGUGGCGCUGGUGCUCUUUGAGCUGAAGCUGCUUUUAAAAUCCUCAGGACAGAGCGCUCAGCUCCUCAGCCAUGAGCCUGGCGACCCUCCCUGCACGCGGCGGCUGAACUUUGUGCGGCUACUCAUGCUCUACACCCGGAAGUUUGAGUCCACGGACCCAAGGGAGGCCCUCCAGUACUUUUACUUCCUCAGGGACGAAAAAGAUAGUCAAGGAGAAAACAUGUUUCUGCGUUGUGUGAGCGAGCUGGUGAUAGAAAGUCGAGAGUUCGAUAUGAUUCUUGGGAAACUAGAGAAUGAUGGAAGUAGAAAGCCUGGAGUCAUAGAUAAGUUUACUAGUGACACAAAACCUAUUAUCAACAAAGUUGCCUCCGUGGCAGAAAAUAAAGGACUGUUUGAAGAAGCAGCCAAGCUUUAUGACCUUGCCAAGAAUGCAGACAAGGUGCUGGAGCUGAUGAACAAACUGCUCAGCCCUGUCGUCCCCCAGAUCAGCGCACCACAGUCCAACAAGGAGAGGCUGAAGAACAUGGCGCUCUCCAUCGCGGAACGGUAUAGGGCUCAGGGAAUCAGUGCAAAUAAAUUUGUGGACUCCACGUUCUAUCUUCUGUUGGACUUGAUCACAUUCUUUGACGAGUAUCACAGUGGGCAUAUUGACAGAGCCUUUGAUAUAAUUGAUCGCUUGAAGCUGGUACCCCUGAAUCAGGAAAGUGUGGAAGAAAGAGUGGCUGCCUUCAGAAAUUUCAGUGACGAGAUCAGGCACAACCUCUCAGAAGUGCUUCUCGCCACCAUGAACAUCUUGUUCACACAGUUUAAGAGGCUCAAGGGGACGAGUCCAUCCUCAGCAUCCAGGCCCCAGCGAGUCAUCGAGGACCGUGACUCUGUUUCCACUUAAUGCUUGAUGAGACUCUCAGUACAGUGUAUAACAGCCACACUUGAUUUUGGCAAUCAAGAAACUAGAGACUUGAAAAUCUGUCUUCUGCCUCCAAGGAUGUCUGUGGGCUCCCUCUGCUCUGACCCCCGCAGGCACUGUCGUUGACAGAACUCCUGCCUCCAACUCCGCAGUCAAGCCCGGGCCCUGAUUACCUUUGCUGGGAUGAUACCAUACCGGACAUCUGGGGACACUAACGCGAGGCUGGUGCAGAUGGAGGUCCUCAUGAACUAAGUGUGAUGCUCUGAGGGGCUG